UACGUAGGGGGCGAGCGUUGUCCGAAUUUACUGGGCGUAAAGAGCGCGUAGGCGGAUUGUUAAGUGAGAGGUGAAAGGUUCAGGGCUCAACCCGAACAGUGCCUUUCAUACUGGCGAUCUUGAGUAUGGGAGAGGCGAGUGGAAGUUUCUGGUGUAGCGGUGAAAUGCGUAGAUAUCAGAAGGAACACCCAUGGCGAAAGGCAGCUCGCUGGGCCUAUAACUGACGCUGAGGCGCGAAAGCGUGGGGAGCAAACAGG
RNAcentral lists this ribosomal RNA (257 nucleotides) under uncultured bacterium. Its description in RNAcentral is "partial 16S ribosomal RNA". It matches the Rfam family "Bacterial small subunit ribosomal RNA", at positions 524 to 776 of the family's 1533-position model. The record is from RNAcentral.